This 245-nucleotide unclassified non-coding RNA is filed under the name Hevea brasiliensis (rubber tree). Lineage: Eukaryota; Viridiplantae; Streptophyta; Magnoliopsida; Malpighiales; Euphorbiaceae. The record is from RNAcentral.
AGCGGGAUACUGGCGAUAUGGUCGGCACAAGCUGGGGCGAGGAAGGUGUAUGCGGUGGAGGCGACUAAGAUGGCGGAUCAUGCGCGGGCACUCGUUGCGGCGAAUAGUGUGGGGGAGGUGGUUGAGGUUAUUGAGCAGUCCAUGGAGGAUGUCGUGCUACCGGAGAAAGUUGAUGUUAUUAUAUCGGAGUGGAUGGGGUACUUUCUCCUGCGGGAGUCGAUGUUUGAUUCGGUGAUAUGUGCGCG